GAUGAAUGCUGGCGGCGUGCCUAACACAUGCAAGUCGAGCGGAAAGGCCCUUCGGGGUACUCGAGCGGCGGACGGCUGAGUAACGCGUGGGAACAUACCCCAAAGUGAGGGAUAACCGCCCGAAAGGGUGGCUAAUACCGCAUAUGAUCUUCGGAUUAAAGGAUUUAUCCGCUUUGGUAAUGGCCUGCGUAUGAUUAGAUAGUUGGUGAGGUAAAGGCUCACCAAGUCUACGAUCAUUAACUGGUCUGAGAGGAUGAUCAGUCAGACUGGAACUGAGAUACGGUCCAGACUCCUACGGGAGGCAGCAGUGAGGAAUCUUCCACAAUGGGCGAAAGCCUGAUGGAGCAACGCCGCGUGCAGGAUGAAGGCCUUCGGGUCGUAAACUGCUUUUAUAAGUGAAGAAUAUGACGGUAACUUAUGAAUAAGCACCGGCUAACUACGUGCCAGCCGCCGCGGUA
RNAcentral lists this ribosomal RNA (458 nucleotides) under uncultured bacterium. RNAcentral's name for it is "partial 16S ribosomal RNA". It matches the Rfam family "Bacterial small subunit ribosomal RNA", at positions 28 to 522 of the family's 1533-position model. The record is from RNAcentral.